UGUUCUGCCCCUACUAGCUCCACAACAGAGCUUUAACUGGUUUUGUUAAGACUGUAUAGAAAGAAAAGCCGGACUGCUAAAAUGUUCCCCUCCUAAGCUAAGUGUGACAUCACACCCACACCUUAAGGGGACAGUUUUAUAUUAUUAAUAUUUUUAUUAAUACUAUUAAUUUUUAAAAAUUAUUACUUUUUUCUGGCCAACGCAAAGAUAGGAAGAAAAGGAGAAACAUUUUAUUUUCCAUGUAAUCAGCUCUGUAACAACAAGGAAAAAGAAUUGUUUUUCAGCAUUUAUAACACAGUCCAAAACAGAAUCAGAAAAAGAUCAAAAUAAUAGAGAACCCAUUUAUAAACAUGAUUACAUUAGAUCUACCUAUGAAAGCAGUUGAGAGCAGUUUUUGUUGGGGGUUCUGGUUACUUUCAUGUUUGUUUUAUUUUAAGUGCUUUGUGGCAAGAUUAUUCAGAUAAGACUGACAUUCCUUUUCACAAAAAUAGAACUGUGUGUUUAUUUCCAGCAUUAACUGUGUGACCCUUAGCUGUCCCCACAGGCUUGCAAUAUCCCUUAAUUCUACUUGCCUUAUAUUUAUGCCAAAUUUAUUUGCUAAAUAGUGAAACCUUACUAUUGACACUAUUUUAUUAUUUUACAUUUUAUACAAGCAUGUCUUAGAGAUCUAAGAACCAGUAAUAAAUUCAGAAAUGAGGUACUUCUGAAUGACUUUAGGAUUAACAUCUAAACAGUCAUGCAGUUCUAAGGCAAUUGAAGGCAUUUAGAAGUUGUGUUGCCUUAUACUAAAUAAUAACAACGCUUCUUUUUAGCACAGCAAUCAGUUCCAAGGCUGAAUGUCACAAAUGUAGUUCCUGGGGCUUGGACAACUGCUCAAACUGCAGUCCAGAGCACUUCUCAGAAGUGAGAAGGCAGCACAUUCUGGUGCUGUAGCCAUCUUGUACUGAUCCAUCCAAACCAGUUAAAAUUCAGUAAUUAGCACAGUUGGAGAUAUGUGAGUGCUCACACAAAUGAAGCUGAAAAGGCAUAACCAAGGACACUGGCAGUUCUCGUGUGCUCCCUCGUACGUGCCUUUCAGUUAGAAAUACAUGCUACCUAGCCUGGUCGUUUUGAGCUAAAUUUUACAAAGUAAAGAAGUGCUUCAAAUGGCUAUCAGUGCUAAAACCUGUAGGAAGGGAUAGCAGCACGGAAAGAAGGAACUCUCUUUCAAGAUUCUUUUACCCCAAAGUGUAACCUACAGCAGUCUCCCCCCUCCCUUACCCUUUUCCUUUUUUUUUCCUCUGUAUAGACAUAUUCCAGGAUAUUCCAAAUCAAUCCAAAGAGAUAAACAAAAAUAAUAUAAUUUAUGUUUCUAAGGAUUUGCAGUGUUUCCCUAAACAAGCUGGACCUGUUCUGAUCACUAGAAGCUCAUUGCACAUCUUGCUUUCCUUGGACUUUAGAGAUGUUUGAAGUGCACACUGAUCUGCACUGCAUAAGAGUUUUGUUUCUGUAGGCCAGAAGCCUUCUCCUGUAGUUGGAGCAACUACACAGACAAUAUUUUGUAUUGAUUAUUGUGUCACAAGAGCAUGAAAUGAGGAUGUGACCAUGCAUUUACAAAGAGACUGACUUUGUGGGAUCUGAAUCCAGGAUGACAUGCCGACAAAAGAUGCUCAGCAUUCCUCUUUGAACCUUACCUUUGUGAACAUUGUCCAAGUUAAAAAUCUUAGCAGAAGUCAUUCCUACACAAAAAGCAUUAAAGCUAAUUUUAGAUCGAGCAGAUUAAAUCAUCUAUCAAUCAAAGCAUAUGGUCUACAGAAAAAUCAGUUGCUUUUCAAGAGAUCUCCUGAUUUCUGAUAAAAUACUGGUAUUUCAUUAGUUAUAGGCAUUAACUAGUUUAAUCACACAAGUCCAACGUAAAAUGGAGUCUGAGCCAAUCUACCAUGCUGGUGAAAGCAGAGACUGUGUGUGAGACCCCAAAGGAUGGGAUGUUUCAGAAGGUGUGGAUGGUGUCCCCACUGCAUCUCUGGCUAUCCCCAGCAGCAGAGCUGCAGCACAAGGCUGGCACAGCCAUGGGAAGCUGAAGGUGCUCCCUGGAAUGUGCUGGAUGUUUUGUGCUGAGCAGCCUUGCUUGCAAGCAGGAGCAUCCACAGUAGCAGUCCACAGCCUGACUGCAGGCGCUCACCUAGCUGGACAGCAAAUUAGUGCAUUGCACUAAGGGAGGGUCUUAUUUCUGCCUGGGAACUGAUCUGCAGACACAGCCAUGCUUCUCCCCCAAUGAAUUUUGACUCCCACGCUUGCCUGCUCCAUCAAGACCCAUCUCAGGCUUCUUUGACCUAAACUCAUCCACACAGGAACUGCAGAGAUAAGAGAAAGCAUACAGAUGAACCAGAUAAAUUGCAACUGUCUGAAGGAACAAAACUUCAACAAAAGUAUCCAAAACCCAAAAUGCCAAGCAUGUACUUAAAUGAUUGACUGUUUUAAAGGGCCCUUAGUGUGGAUUCUAGCAAGGAUAUUUACAUUAGGGUUUGCACUGGCUGCUUACUUAAGUUCAGAUUUCAACAAAGCAAAUAUGUAUUUGUUAGCAUCCAGCCUUCAAAUAUAACUCAUCUGGGCUAAUAUGAAGCACUAGAAAUAGUCUUUCCAUUAUUAGAUGACUUAUUUGGAGCUGUGAACCUCAGUAUACAAUGAAAUGGGAAUAAUUUCUUUUACCAUUUACUCAGCAGUUGACUCCAGGACCCUUUCCUACCCCCUCCAUCUCCUUUUUAUGAAAGUGAAUUUACAGCAAAAAAACAUCAACGUGUAUCUGAACAAUUUUCUGUCUCAAAGGGUUUUGAGACAUGGGAAGGAAAAGCCAGUUUUCCAGACCAACUAUCCAACAUCCUUCUAAAUGCAUCAUGUUGUCAAGCCAGGACAAGAGUUGUCUUCCAGAAGAGACUGACCUUUCCUUGGCAAUUAACAUUGAACGAUUCUGCAAUAUGAAAAAAACCCUAGAGUAUGAAUCAAAAUGUCAUUUAAUAUUUAGCUCACACACUUUCUUACAGUUAGCAUUAUCAAUUUGCUCUGGUUACUUACAGCAUGUAUUUAAUUCCCACAGAGUGCUCUGAUUUUAUUGACUAAGCCUCAGUUUGCAAACUGCAAUAGAUACGUACAUGCAGCACUUACAGCAGAACAACCUGUAUAUAGGUUUCUAGACAUUUUUCUAUGAAAGCAAAUCAAAUGUAGCAAACAUUAAUGUCCUGCAUGUUUUAAGCCUGCCAUCUAAAUAACCACAUUCUUUUAGAGGAUAAAAAUAGAAUUUCCAUAAAGGCAGAAUCUCUCCCAUCUUGCUCAUCACAGAAAAAAACACUGGAAAGGUUCACUUGGCUGAGCCUCUCAGAUGAGCUGCCUAAAUGACAUAAAGCACUAUUAGUUAGCCUCUAAUCCAAAAAUAAGUGAAGUAAACCAGAAUCCAGGCCUCUAGCAACUAGGCAGUAUGCAGGAAAAGAUACAGGAAUGAGGGUUCUUAUACUAUAGUAUAAUCAGCUAAAUGUCUCUAGAGUACAGCAGAAGUUUUAAUCCAGACUAAUGCUUAAAGACUGAUUCACACCAGCUCAGCUUCUAAUUUUUUUUUUCUGUGAGAACAUCAAUUUUAUGACAGUGGGCUAGAAAAAAAGAUGCAUAUUCUAACAGAUUUAAGCUAUGAUUCAGUGCAAAAUUUGGUGAGAGAUACUCUCGUACAAGCCAAGGACAGACACCAGAAUUCAAGAGAAAGAGCAAGAAAAGCGAAUUUUCCCCUUCCAAAGUGUUAGUGGAAAUCUAAAGACAUUUAUCUUAAAUGUGCAAAACCAGCUAAAACAAAUACCUAUCAAGCUUCAGUAUUUUUGAAAAGUUCCACACUUGACAAGCAGAUUCUCUUAAUUUAUCUAUGUUUUUCAGCAGUAAUACCACUGUUGCACAGGUUUUUAAUGUCAAGCCCACACUGCAAGGCAGAAUAUUUGUGUUCUAAGUAAAAAGAGUCCUAAGACAAACUCAGGAAUUUUUUCAAAUCAUUGUUAUCUGCAAAGGAAUUAUUUUAUUCAAAAAAGGAAUCUAACAAAAAUGCUCUCUUAAUACAAAGAUACUCUGCUGUCAGUCUGCAAUAAGAAAUGGUCAUGGUAAUUGUGGAAGUUAGGAAUUUAGUUAUUGGUGUGGGCUUUUUCUCCUUCAAGAUGCAUUCAGCUUGAAUGCUGACAUUUCUAAACCUUUUCAUCAUCUCAGAGAAGCAGCAAACAAGUCCAAGGAAACCAAACAUGAAAGGAUAUAUGAUUCAAGGAAAAGAUUUUAUUUUAGGGCUAAGAAGUUGAUAAUAAAUAAAGGAAUAUAAUAAUGUAAUAGCAGAUGUUCUCAUGCACUUAACACAUACAGUAAUGCUGGCUUACACUGCUGUUUGGACAAAUUAAGAAGAGGUAUUUGGCAAUAUUGUAAGUUUUGAAUAGUUUAAAGAUUAUAGAACAAGAAAUUCUUUCUGCUGUUCUUACACUUCUUUUAUACAAAUUCAAAUAAAUAUUAAUAUAUCUAUUUUUAUCAGAUUUUCUGUUCACUUUUAGCAUGCCCAAUAACUAAGCCACAGUAAUAUACAACUGCCAAGAAAGAGUAUUUAAGAAUUAUACUUAGUCCUAAAAAUGUAUCAUAUUUAUGUCACAUUGUGCAAGCUCUUCAGGUAAAAUUAGAUUUUAGGAAAAACUGCAGAAAAUUUAAACUCAUUAAAACAUAUCCAGUGCAAAGGCCAGUCUAGUCCACACAUUAUGGUACUGUAAUGUAAGCUAAUAUAAUUUAAAUAAGAAAACAUGCCUAUAUGACUCUGAGAAAGCUGAAUAUGUUUCAUGUUUUAAAGAUCUGACAUCUAAUAUGCAGAUUCUGCAAUAUCAGAAUUUUUCAAAUCUUCAUGAGAUGGCAAAAUAAUGGUAAGACUUUAUAAGUAGGCUUUUUUUUUAAAGGUAACUCACAUUAACAGUACUACAGUGGCCAAAAAAGACAAACUAUUAUAAUAGAAAUCAAUCUGAUUAAAAAAUUAAAUAUUCCAAUUAACACUGAAAAAGUGUUUGUAAUCAUUAUUUACAAUUCCUCAAUGAUACCAGUGUAUAACCUCACA
Molecule: long non-coding RNA, 5089 nt
Organism: Prinia subflava (tawny-flanked prinia)
Lineage: Eukaryota; Metazoa; Chordata; Aves; Passeriformes; Cisticolidae
Exons: 2
Source: RefSeq, a predicted model, not a curated record